UGGCAAGCGCCCGGCCGGGCGGAGGGAGCGGGGAGCUCCUCCCUGGCCUCGGGGAAAACUCUCCUGGUUUUCAUCAUCCCAGCAGGGACGGCUCCGCCGCCGCCGCCACCGAAACGCGGCUGCCUUGUGGGCCGAGCGCGGCCCCACGGCCCGGCCCCACCGAGCUCCGGGAGGGGCGGCCCGGGGGGACACCGGGGUGGGGACCUGGGGAUGGGGACAGCAGGAUGGGGACCUGGGGAUGGGGACAGCAGGAUGGGCACACCGGGAAUGGGGACAGCAGGAUGGGGACCUGGGGAUGGGGACACCGUGAUGGGGAUCCCGCCAUGGGGAGGGGGAUCCUGCCGUGGGGAUCCCGGGAUGGGAAGGGGCAGGACAAGCCGCUGCUGGGGUUUCUGGCUGUGCAGAAAUGGGGGUGAACAGGACCAGCCGCUGCUGGGGUUUCUGGCUGUGCAGAAAUGGGGGUGAACACAUGCCUGGGGCUCUGUAGGGCACAGCUGGGGGGAUUUGGGUGCACCCCAGUCUCGGGGUCCCACUGUGCUUCCUGUCCUCUGCCUGCCCGGGAGGAUCCAGGGCUGUUCCUGUGGCUGCUCCAGCUUGGGGACCCCCGAGUGCUGUUGGGGUUGGGGCGGUGGCCUUGGGCUCCCUGGCUGGCCCUGGGGGCCGGAUCGUGGCCACCAACGGCUCUCUGGGGCAGACUUGGCAUGUGCAGCUCCAGCCACCCAGUCCCCAUCCCAAUCCCAAUCCCAAUUCCCAUCCCAGUCCCAGUCCCCAUCCCUGCUGUGCCACCACAGGGAACAGGGAUGGUGUCUCCUGGUGCCCAGCUGCCCCUCAGCCACCCUGCACACGUGGCCUGUCCCCGUCCCUUCGCUCCAGGGGCUUCUCCCAGUGCUCCCAGUGCUCCCAGUGCUCCCAGUUCAGGAUGAUCCCGAUGAUCCCAGGCUCUCCCAUCCCGGCCAUUCCCCACUCCAGGAAGGGGCUCCACGGUGGGAGGAUGUGGGGACACGCAAGGACAGGGAUGGGGAUCUGGGAGGGCCACGACCACCUCAUCCCACCAGCACUGCACCCAAAACGCCACGGGGACCCUCCCGAGCCAUCCCAAAACUCAAAUCCAGGCUGGGAUCCUGCUGGGAUGAGGCUGGGAGCAGGAUGAGGCUGUGGGGCACUGGGAGCACUGGGGGGACUGGGGGGAUCAGGAUUUGGGGUCUGCGGGCUCCUGGAGCCCCCCCAAGCAGAGCUGGGACCACCCAAGGCAGGGGAUCACGGCACAUCCCAGGGGGGAUCUCCUCUCACCACCGAGUGUCUGAAAUCCCGAGCCGUGCCUUGAAAUUACUGCUAAUUACAGAGCUCAUUUGCAUAAAUUAUAAGGCAAGAGGCAAAUGCCUCCAAUCCCUCCGAGUGAUCAGGCAGCGGGGGGGAGGGGGGACCGA
RNAcentral lists this long non-coding RNA (1427 nucleotides) under Chloebia gouldiae (Gouldian finch). RNAcentral describes it as "Erythrura gouldiae (Gouldian finch) lncRNA (ENSEGOG00005015614.1)". Lineage: Eukaryota; Metazoa; Chordata; Aves; Passeriformes; Passeridae. The record is from RNAcentral.